RNAcentral lists this long non-coding RNA (870 nucleotides) under Capra hircus (goat). Its description in RNAcentral is "lncRNA (ENSCHIG00010011888.1)". Lineage: Eukaryota; Metazoa; Chordata; Mammalia; Artiodactyla; Bovidae. The record is from RNAcentral.
CUAAAUAUAUUCAAAUGUUCUCUAUUAUUAAACAAAAGAAUUACACAAAAGAGUGAUGUUAUGAAAUCAAGAUUAGAACCUAAGUUACUCUCAUAGUAGUAGUUUCAGAUGAGUUUGGGGGGCACUGCAGAGGUGAAAAUUAUGUGGAUGUAAUUGUCUUUUUUUUUUCCCUUUUUUCAUUCUCUCAGUUUCCCUAAUGCAUGAGGCUCCUGACCACCAUAAAGAAAGCUAGAGCUGGGGCAUUAUGCUUGUCACUUCUGAAGCUGACGGAAUGGUAUUUAUUGCUUCCACUGAAGUGUGAGACUCUCAGGAUUGCCUUUUGAAUCAGUUCUUCAUUUAGUUAGGAGAGCUUUUAAGUCUUGAGUAUUCAAAAUGUACCAUGACUGCCAGUGCUGAUUUAACAUUCAGGUGAAGGUAAAACAAGUUUUGAAGGAACGAUCAUUCAGCAAGAUCAAAAAGUCCACUCUUUCAUCUUCUCCAGUCCCCCAGUUCCAUUAGAGUUGUAAAGGUGAAAAAUGGUCCUAUAUUUGCCUGCCUGUUUGUUAGGAGGACCGUAUGGGCUAUGGUCACAUGUGUCUUGGGAAAUGAUGAGCAAGUGGUUCAGCUUCAUAGUGGUCCUGAACAAUUUAACUUUGACUCUAAGGCAAAAUUUUGCAAACAAGGCAAUACUUUCUUUUCUGUGUUCUCUUUUUUUGCUUUCUAGAAGGGAAUAGAAUUCAAAUAAAAUGUGAAUUGAACAUGUCUUAAAAAGUUUUUUUUAAUGAAAAAUUAGAGUAUUAACUUCUAGUAGAUAAUAUAAACCAUAAAGAGGAAAUAAAGCUAUGUCUAUGAAAAGAAAAACUCCAUUCUGAAAAUGACAAAACCAAAGCU